Molecule: transfer RNA, 104 nt
Organism: Trichosporon asahii var. asahii CBS 8904
Lineage: Eukaryota; Fungi; Basidiomycota; Tremellomycetes; Trichosporonales; Trichosporonaceae
Rfam family: tRNA
About the family: Transfer RNA (tRNA) molecules are approximately 80 nucleotides in length. Their secondary structure includes four short double-helical elements and three loops (D, anti-codon, and T loops).
Source: Rfam
GGCAAGAUGGCCGAGCGGUCUAAGGCGCUGUGUUCAGGUUGUUGCUUCUUUCGGAGGUUCCAAUUCGCAGUCUUCGGGCGUGGGUUCGAAUCCCACUCUUGUCA